RNAcentral lists this long non-coding RNA (3969 nucleotides) under Capsicum annuum. Its description in RNAcentral is "long non-coding RNA (CANN_LNC010850)". Lineage: Eukaryota; Viridiplantae; Streptophyta; Magnoliopsida; Solanales; Solanaceae. The record is from RNAcentral.
GCUAUGCGUGGACGCUUGUGAAUCCAAAUCAUAACACAGUAGGUUCACCUGCAAGAGGUCUGGCAAUAACACGCGAUGGAUCAAUGAGCUACAGAUACAUUAAGCGAUAUAUGAAAAGUUAUGGAGGCAUACCUGUCUAUAACUCCACUUAUGUUGUGAACUACGUGACUAUUGGAUCAUUUUGGAUUGGUUAUGAUGAUGUUGAGGCUAUCAGAACUAAAGUUUCUUAUGCGAACGGUAAGGGGCUUCGCGGUUUUGCUGCAUUCCAAAUUCCUAGUGAUGAUGUCGAUUGGGAGCUUUCAAAAGCAGGUUAAAUCAUAAUCCUUUGCAAACUUACUAAAUAUAGAAAGAGGCACGCGUUUUGGGAUAGACCAAACAGGGAAGUAAGUCAGUAAGACACUUAAAUUGGGACGGAGAGAAGAUAGGGUAUAACCAACAUCAUAAAGAGAUUGCUUAUAUCACACAUUUUUCACAAAUUAUAAACAUGAUAACUUUCUUUACAGCCUCGGGCGAAGAAGAAGAUCAUAGAGGCAGCAAGCGAAGGUUGCUGGCGAUUCUUUUGCCAACGAUCACCAUCACCGUUCUCCUAAUAAGUACAAUAGUAUGUAUUUUGAAAAAGAAAACUAUGAGAUCUGAAGGUAACCAAUUCAACUUCUUGUCACUCUUUCAUUUAAACGACUAAUCAGAACAUACUGGAACUAAAAGUUUUUCAUUUGAUUAUAGGUAUCGAGGUAUUGAAUGAAAGAGCUAUAGGUAGUAAUCUGAUAGUUUUCAGCUUUGAUCAAAUAAAAGAAGCUACAGACAAUUUCUCCAUCGAAAACAAGAUUGGAGAGGGAGGCUUUGGACCAGUUUAUAAGGUAUUGAACUCUAUUAGUUUAUCCUCUUACAUCUAUAGCAAUUUGACUUAGACGUGGUGGCGUUGGGAGCUUUCGUAUGCAUAUCAAAUGUGAAAAUAGCUGUACAUGGUAAGGGGAAGAUAGCUUUACGACGAGUACUACUAAUCAUACUGCUUAUUGUCCCAGGGAAGGUUAAGUGAUGGGGAAGAAAUUGCAGUAAAACGGCUUUCAGAAUGCUCUAAGCAAGGAGUAGAAGAGUUUCGGAAUGAAGUCACACUUGCUUCAAAGUUACAACAUGUCAAUGUUUUACAACUUCAGGGCUUUUGCAUCGAAAGAGAAGAGAAGAUGCUGAUUUAUGAGUACAUGCCAAAUAAGAGUUUGGAUUUCUACCUUUAUGGUGCGUAAACUCUUACCUCAUCAUAAAUAUACGUACAGACACGCGCACACACUCACACACCGUUCUUAAAGCACAUGAUCAUGCAUAUUCCACAUGCCUAAGAAUUGAUUAUCUGAUGCAGACCCUGUGAAGAGUUUGAAAUUAGAUUGGGAGUCGCGGAUACGCAUUAUAGAAGGAAUUACUCAAGGACUUCUAUACCUCCAAGAAUACUCAACAUUCACAGUCAUUCACAGAGACUUGAAAGCCAGCAACAUAUUACUAGACAAUGAGAUGAAGCCAAAAAUCUCAGAUUUCGGUAUAGCUAGACUUUUCCAGAAAGAUGAAAAAGAAGCAAACACCGGAAAGAUUGUUGGGACCUAGUAAAUAUCAUGAAUCUUGACCAUUGUUACUUACUUAAUACUCCUACUCACUAACAUUUCCGCUUGUAUUCUGCAGUGGUUAUGUUCCUCCAGAGUAUGUUAAACGAGGUGUAUACUCCAGGAAAUAUGAUGUUUACAGUUUCGGAGUUCUAUUAUUGCAAAUCCUUGGUGGCAAGAAGAAUUCAUGUGAAUAUGGAUUUGAGAACGAUCUGAAUCUUCUUGAAUAUGUAAGUCUUUGAAGUCUUAUCGAACUAGUUCGAUGUCAAAAUCUCCACGUGGAAGCUAAUUAACCUCAUCUGAUCAAAACUCAGGCAUAUGAACUCUGGCAAAAAGGCAACGGAGUGGAUUUUAUUGAUCCGUCACUGCACGAUGAUUUUCUUAUAGGUAAACAACUGAGAUACAUGAAAGUUGCACUGUUGUGUGUCCAAGAAAAAUGGGAAGACCGACCAUCGAUGUUGGAGGUAUACUCCAUGCUCAAAAAUGAAACUGAAGUCUUGCCAAAUCCUAAAGUUCCUGCCUUUUCCAAGAACAAAGACAGUACCACACAAGAAACUUCGGUCAUACUUGAUAUACCUUGUUCAGAUAGUAGUCUCACUAUUUCCGAACUUAUAGGUCGUUAACACUUCAAAGUUUUGGAAAUUAAUUUCAUCCAUGAUAGGUUUUUUUCGUCUAUGUUUCCUUACUUGAUCAGCCAGCCACACUUAGCAACUUCUUUCAUAGUUUUCUGUGAUGAAGGAAAGUUGUUUAAGUAGUGAAUUGGAGUAUGAUGAUUGUGGAGUCAUGAAUGAUUAUGCAGUACAAUGACAACAACAACAACAAAUCCAGUGUAUAAUCCUACAAGCGUGGUACAGGAAGGGUGGUUUGUACGCAGACCUUGCUGUUUGUACUCUCUCUCUAUAUAGUGCAUACACUAAGGGCAUAUAAAGACAAAUAUAAAUGAAUAAAGGGUGGCUCGUGUAUUCCCAUUCACAGGUGGAGAGAGCGAUGCAGAGGGUAUAGGACAAGGGUCAUCUACAAUGGAACUCUUUUGUAGUAUUACUAUCGCUCUACGCCAGUGUUGUCAAAUGCACGCUUAAGCCCAGACGCAAGGCUCAAAACACGUUGAGUGCUUCGUCUCGCUUAAUGAGCACUUCAGUGCCAUCAUCGAGGUUCUAAGACAUAAUUUUCCUUUGCUAAUGUGCCUCUUCUAAAGAGGCAAGCAUUAAACAAUUGAUAUUUCAUUUUAAUGUAAUUAUUUUUCAAUUUCCUUGUACUUACAUUUGUCAUUCAUGCUUAUAAUUAUUAAUAAUCUUGAACUAAACAUAUAUGUUUGUAUGUUUCCUCCCUUUGCGCCUAUUUUCAUUAAAGUCUUAUGCUUUAUUUGCGCUUAACAAACCUUAGAACCAUUUUGCAGUUUUUGUUUUUGACAACACUGUUUUACAUUCCUGUAACUUUAGUUCACAAAGAAUUAUGUCAACCAAGCUAUUGAAAAUGAAAUCAUAACAAAUCAUAUUUUUCAUAUAUCCUUUUCUUUGUAACUCUGGUAUCCAGGCUAGCUUUCUCGCACCUCGAACUAAUUCCACAACAUACAUGUCGUUUCCCACCAACAACAGAUACCAGGUAACGCUAGGUAACGCUGCCCACUUAGUCUAUGUUGUUCAUAUAUAUUCAUUUUUAUAUAUAUAAUUGUGGUGUCUGGACUAGCUUUCGCAUGCCUCGACUAAUUCCAUGGAUACCUGCCACCUCCCAUCAGCGACACGUACCAGGUACCUGGUCACUCUGUCUACCAAAGCAAUAUUGUUCAUAUCUUAAAAAGCACUAGGUAAUUCUUUCCAUCUAUUCUAGUCUUAGUGGCCAGAGGUAUUUGAUUUCUGUUGUUGGAGGGAGGUGUUGGGUAUCAGAGGAUAUAGUUGAGGUGCGUUCAAAGCUAGCCUGGACAACACAAUUAUUAAAAAAAUAAAGUACAAACAUAAUAAAAUAAAGGCAUAAUACAACAAUAUGUCCUUCAACUUGACUUCAACUUGCAUUUAUGCCCUUAGUCGAGACACUUAAACUUGUGUACAAUUGAAUAGGUAGACACAGGUGUCAUAUGUGGCAUCUUACGUGGCUAAUUCUUGUCCUACAUGGCUUCCUACGUGUAUUAUGUCAUAUAGAACGCAUGUAUCUAUUUAUUCAAUUUUAUACAAAUUUAAGUGUACACUUGUGCAUGUUCAAAGUUGGAGGUCACACAUGUAAACUGAGCGUUCGUUAGGUAUAAAAGCAUGUAAAUCCUACUUACUAGCUCAAAAAUCAACACAUUUAAUACGAAAUUAAAAGUUGAAAACAAAAUUACACACACACACAAAAAAAAGAGCUAAUUGAAAGGCAAACCUGAUUAAAUGUGUUAAAUGGAAGGUUG